GAUGAACGCUGGCGACGUGCCUAAUACAUGCAAGUCGAGCGAACGGACGAGAAGCUUGCUUCUCUGAUGUUAGCGGCGGACGGGUGAGUAACACGUGGAUAACCUACCUAUAAGACUGGGAUAACUUCGGGAAACCGGAGCUAAUACCGGAUAAUAUUUUGAACCGCAUGGUUCAAAAGUGAAAGGCGGUCUUGCUGUCACUUAUAGAUGGAUCCGCGCUGCAUUAGCUAGUUGGUAAGGUAACGGCUUACCAAGGCAACGAUGCAUAGCCGACCUGAGAGGGUGAUCGGCCACACUGGAACUGAGACACGGUCCAGACUCCUACGGGAGGCAGCAGUAGGGAAUCUUCCGCAAUGGGCGAAAGCCUGACGGAGCAACGCCGCGUGAGUGAUGAAGGUCUUCGGAUCGUAAAACUCUGUUAUUAGGGAAGAACAUAUGUGUAAGUAACUGUGCACAUCUUGACGGUACCUAAUCAGAAAGCCACGGCUAACUACGUG
This 497-nucleotide ribosomal RNA is filed under the name uncultured bacterium. Its description in RNAcentral is "partial 16S ribosomal RNA". It matches the Rfam family "Bacterial small subunit ribosomal RNA", at positions 28 to 507 of the family's 1533-position model. The record is from RNAcentral.